This 117-nucleotide small RNA is filed under the name Salmonella enterica subsp. enterica serovar Infantis. Its description in RNAcentral is "RtT sRNA". It matches the Rfam family "RtT RNA", at positions 15 to 130 of the family's 130-position model. From Rfam's summary of the family: This family represents a bacterial cis-regulatory element known as RtT RNA. The exact function of RtT is unknown although it is thought that it may be involved in changing the cellular response in relation to amino acid starvation. The record is from RNAcentral. Lineage: Bacteria; Pseudomonadati; Pseudomonadota; Gammaproteobacteria; Enterobacterales; Enterobacteriaceae. RNAcentral also lists the same sequence under 7 other names.
GGGAAGGAUGAGAAGCUUCGACUAAGGUUCGAUUCGAGCGCAGCGAGAAAGCGUUGCCGCAGGCAACGACCCGAAGGGCGAAGCGCGCAGCGCUGAGUAAUCCUUCCCCCACCACCA